AGCCAAUCCAGAUAUAAACACUGUAUGUUUAUUUUCCUUUCUGCAACAUGUACAAUUAAUAAAACCCCAUUUUACAUAUAGGUCAUGUACAUUAUUCUCUGUGCAUUCAGUUGAUUUAGGGAUGUGUAUUUUUUUUUAUUCCACCUCAAAAUUUUCUAGUAUUGCUUUAACAAUUGCUUAUAUUUCGUGCCUGCAACUUCUUGUUUAAUAAUCAUUGAUUACUUCUCUUUUUCGUUUCUUAUUACAACUAGGUUGAGCUUUGUGAGGAUGACGAA
Molecule: unclassified non-coding RNA, 275 nt
Filed under: Hevea brasiliensis (rubber tree)
Lineage: Eukaryota; Viridiplantae; Streptophyta; Magnoliopsida; Malpighiales; Euphorbiaceae
Source: RNAcentral